This 67-nucleotide transfer RNA is filed under the name Cavia porcellus (domestic guinea pig). It matches the Rfam family "tRNA". Rfam says of the family: Transfer RNA (tRNA) molecules are approximately 80 nucleotides in length. The record is from Rfam by way of RNAcentral. Lineage: Eukaryota; Metazoa; Chordata; Mammalia; Rodentia; Caviidae.
GGGGAUUUAGCUCAGUGGCAUAAGUGCCUGCCUUGCAAGCAGGCAGUCGUGAGUUCGACGAUCCCCG